GAUGAAGAACGCAGCGAAUUGCGAUACUUGGUGUGAAUCGCAGAAUCCCGUGAACCAUUGAGUCUUUGAACGCAAGUUGCGCCCGAAGCCAUCAGGUUGAGGGCACGUCUGCCUGGGCGUCACAUAUCGUUGCCCAAUGCCUAUUGCAGUGCAAUAGGAAUUUCUAGGGCGAAUGAUGGCUUCCCGUGAGCGUUGUUGCCUCGCGGUUGGUUGAAAAUCGAGUCCUUGGUAGGGUGUGCCAUGGUAGAUGGUGGUCGAGUUAGAACGAUACCGAUCAUGUGCAUGCUCCCCAAAAUAUGGCCUCUAUGACCCACACGCGUCUUUUGACGCUCAUGACGAGACCUCAGGUCAGGCGGGGCUACCCGCUGAAUUUAAGCAUAUCAAUAAGCGGAGGA
Molecule: unclassified non-coding RNA, 395 nt
Filed under: soil metagenome
Description: partial contains 5.8S ribosomal RNA, internal transcribed spacer 2, and large subunit ribosomal RNA
Rfam family: 5.8S ribosomal RNA (bases 1-122)
Source: RNAcentral